This 292-nucleotide ribosomal RNA is filed under the name uncultured bacterium. RNAcentral describes it as "partial 16S ribosomal RNA". It matches the Rfam family "Bacterial small subunit ribosomal RNA", at positions 505 to 796 of the family's 1533-position model. The record is from RNAcentral.
GUGUCAGCCGCCGCGGUAAUACGUAGGAGGCGAGCGUUGUCCGGAGUUACUGGGCGUAAAGGGUGCGCAGGCGGCCUACCGCGUGGGGGGUGAAAUCGCCCGGCUCAACCGGGCGGGGGCUUUCCAGACGGGUAGGCUUGAGGGGCGGAGAGGGGCGCGGAAUUCCGGGUGGAGCGGUGAAAUGCGUAGAGAUCCGGAAGAACACCGACGGCGAAGGCAGCGCCCUGGACGCCAUCUGACGCUCGGGCACGAAAGCGCGGGGAGCGAACAGGAUUAGAUACCCUGGUAGUCC